AACGCGAAGAACCUUACCUAGACUUGACAUAUAGUAGACCGGUACGGAAACGUACUUUCCCGCAAGGGCUGCUAAACAGAUGCUGCAUGGCUGUCGUCAGCUCGUGCCGUGAGGUGUUGGGUUAAGUCCCGCAACGAGCGCAACCCUUGUCAUUAGUUGCCAGCACGUAAUGGUGGGAACUCUAAUGAGACUGCCUGGGUUAACCAGGAGGAAGGUGAGGAUGACGUCAAGUCCGCAUGGCUCUUACGUCUAGGGCUACACACGUGCUACAAUGGCUGGUACAAUAGGCAGCUAUACCGAAAGGUGGAGCAAAUCCUCUAAAGCCAGCCCCAGUUCGGAUUGAGGUCUGCAACUCGACCUCAUGAAGUUGGAAUUGCUAGUAAUGGCGUGUCAGCAAUAUCGCCGUGAAUACGUUCCCGGGCCUUGUACACACCGCACUACUA
Molecule: ribosomal RNA, 443 nt
Filed under: uncultured bacterium
Lineage: Bacteria
Description: bacterial SSU rRNA
Rfam family: Bacterial small subunit ribosomal RNA
Source: RNAcentral